AAACCGUACCCGACUAGUAGGAAGUACUUUCCGUUACGGUAGGGUCGGACUACUACUUUAGUUUAAGGAAAGUAGUAAGGAAAGGGCAAUCCGCUGAAGGACGGGACCGCGUCCCAUUAGCUAGAUGGUGGGGUAAUGGCCUACCAUGGCAACGAUGGGUAGCUGGUUUGAGAGAGCGACCAGCCACACUGGGACUGAGACACGGCCCAG
RNAcentral lists this ribosomal RNA (210 nucleotides) under uncultured bacterium. RNAcentral describes it as "partial 16S ribosomal RNA". It matches the Rfam family "Bacterial small subunit ribosomal RNA", at positions 122 to 334 of the family's 1533-position model. The record is from RNAcentral.